UCCGGUGACUUUACUAGGGGGGAAACACCCGUUCCCAUUCCGAAUACGGAAGUUAAGCCCCCUGAGGCCGAUGGUACUGCGCUGGAAACGGCGUGGGAGAGUAGGUAGUUGCCGGGA
Molecule: ribosomal RNA, 117 nt
Filed under: Candidatus Omnitrophota bacterium
Lineage: Bacteria; Pseudomonadati; Candidatus Omnitrophota
Source: RNAcentral